Molecule: small nucleolar RNA, 132 nt
Filed under: Nannospalax galili (Upper Galilee mountains blind mole rat)
Lineage: Eukaryota; Metazoa; Chordata; Mammalia; Rodentia; Spalacidae
Description: Small nucleolar RNA SNORA72 (ENSNGAG00000008545.1)
Rfam family: Small nucleolar RNA SNORA72
About the family: U72 is a member of the H/ACA class of snoRNAs.
Source: Rfam by way of RNAcentral
CUGCGAAUAUUCUCGCUGUUCUGAUUUUGUAAUAAUCAGGACAGGCUAAACAUUCGCUAUAAUAAGACCAUGCAUGUGUCCCCAGGCCUAGUUCUUUCCCUAGGUCUGGUUUUCUAAAUGCUGGUGAUAAAC